RNAcentral lists this long non-coding RNA (566 nucleotides) under Mytilus galloprovincialis (Mediterranean mussel). Lineage: Eukaryota; Metazoa; Mollusca; Bivalvia; Mytilida; Mytilidae. The record is from RNAcentral.
AGCAAAAUAACUAUUUAAGAUGCCAUAUAAGCUUCUAGUCAAUUGAAAACUGAACUCAAAAUCUCAAUGUCAACUGUAAUAGACACAAAUAACGGACAGAUAUUUCAUUCCGCUGCAAGUUUACUUAGAAAAGACAUCGAAACUCUAAAGAAGACUACCCAACUUCGGAUGAAUUGUCUCUUCCUUCUUAAUUCAGCCAAUGCCUUCGUAUUUAUUGCAAUUCAUUCUAUGUUUACUCAAAUGAAAAUGCACACAGCCAAGACUAUUCUCAGGAAAUGGCAUCAGAGAAAUUGUGGAAAUGCUAAGCAAUUGUUGAGACAAUCGUUUUUGUUUUACUCCUUUUCAUUUAGGAUUGGCCUUACAAAUGUACCAUGGGUUUGGUUCAAAACACCUUGUUGAAACAUUGAAUGCCAAUGGAUUUUAUGCUACUUAAAGUAAAGUGCGACGCUAUCUAAUGUGUUGCCAACCAUGAAAUUGAGCGAAUUCAAGAUAGUGUGUACGUCUCGUAUAAUGUUUCCCCAGCAUCUUUGCAGACAAGCAUAUGGAUGUCAUCACACCUUCCUAAA